CUCACUCUGCUGGCAUCCGCCGCAGCCAUACCUGAGGCCGGUGAAUCAAGAAAGGCCCUAUUGCAAGGUACGCAAGCAUCUGGGAUUUUCCGGGUUUAUUGCAUCUGAUGUUUGCAGUCGGUUUGCUGUUCACCUUGGAUAGAUAAAUAGUUGUGCCUGCAUUUGUAGAUUAUGUGAAGAGAUCAAAGGAAAACAAAGAAAAGAAUGACAAGGAGGUAUGUGGCCUUCCUUGAACUGUUUCCUUGAUAUCCCAUCAUUGCUAAUGGAAGAAGCCUUUUAUUUUUGUUUCGAGUCAAUCUAUAUGCAUUUCUUUAUGAAAUCAUGAGCCUUUUUUCAACCCUUUGUCCCGAAAUACUUGUCGGAGAAAUAAAUGCAUCUAGAUGUAUUUUAGUUCUAGAUACAUCUAUUUUUAUACAUUUCUAAGUAUUUCUGGAUGGAGGGAGUACUAAUUUGGGUCCAUAUGCUCUCAAUUUCAUUACUUCGGUUGCUUUAUACUUGGUGUCCCUUUGCUUUUUCAUUUUUCACGAAAAACUUGAGGAUGGUUUGACCUGUGCUGUAAUUUUCUACCCUUGUCGUACAUGUUCCAGUUUGUUGGUUUUGCAGUAGAUGUCUCUGAUUUAAAUAGGGGACCUUGUGCCACCUGCAAACCAUCAUACUAGUUUAAGUCUCAAGUGAAAUCAGCUGCAGGCCUCUUCAGAAUGUUGUCAAUUUUAUCACUAUAAGUUUACUGGACUAACAGAUUGACCGAGGAGAUUUUACACCGUGGUUGCAACUAAUUGUGCUGCUGUUUUCUCAUAUAUUCCAGAGGCGGGACGCCGUUUACAAAAGGAAUUACAAGGACUAUUUCGGUUUCAUGGAAGGCCCGGUCAGAGAGAAGCCAGCGGAAGAUCUCACGGAGUCGGAGAAAGGGAUUCUCGCGUGGCUGGACAAGAACAAGUAGCUAGUGUUGAACAUGGGAGGAGCACGCCAACCAAAUAGCUGAUACAGCUUUCUCUGUAGGAAAAUUCCUUCCGCGGUGAAGUUCUCAAUGAGUUAAUAAGCUUAGCAUAUAGCACCUCACUUGCCUCUUAAACCUGGUGCAACUUGUUCUGUUUCAUCAUUGUCAUCUCAUCUGUGCAGUAGCACAAAUCUUUGCUUGAUCUGACAGUAUGUUACAUUUUUGUAAAAUCAGAAAAAAAACAUAAAAUGGAUACCAUUUAUAUAUACAUUUGUACUAUUAUUUUGUACAGUUACCUGACAGUGGACAAGAGAACUUUUCUCUUGCUCUGUACAUUUUCUUUUUUAAUCAGAAUGUAUUACUAGAAAUUUGUUGCGGAAAUGUCGAGAUAAAGGCAAGAGAAGUAAUUCAAAUAUGUGGUCUAAGAAAAAUAAAAAUAAAAUGCAGAUACCAGAAAGGCAAAAAAUGUUAAAUGGAAGAAGGUAUAAAUAUCAAACAGGCUGAGGUGUGACUUGUCCAAAACCCAAGCAGGACUGCAUAUUGUCUUUUUUUUGGAAACAGAGGACUGCAUAUUGUCAGAUUUGCCCCUGUGUGUUUCCAUCCAGAGAAAAACCUGUGGCCUUGGUCCAUUCCAGGAUUUCAUCAUAUCAUAUCAAGUAGCAGCAACCUGGCGACGCUUCCAUGUAGGAAAUCAAGAGAGCAAACUCAUCUCAUCCCAUGGCUCAGCCUCCAGGUAAGCUGAUGGACACAAUCAGAAGGCCGGUCACAGCAGCUUCAUCUCUUGGCCAAUCAGCGGCAAAUCAUCUCCAGCCACUGGUCACAUUGGCUCAGAGGAAUGGAGUUAACAGGAGGUGCCUCCUCACUCUGCUGGCAUCCGCCGCAGCCAUACCCGAGGCCAGUGAAUCAAGAAAGGCGCUAUUGCAAGGUAUGUAAGCAUCUGGUCCAAUUUUCAGGGUCUAGUAUUUGUGGUCAGUUUGCUGUUCACGUAUGAUUCUGCCUGCAUAUGUGUAGAUUAUGUGAAGAGGUCAAAGGAAAACAAAGAGAAGAAUGACAAGGAGGUAUGUGUGGCCUUCCUUCAAUUGUUUCUGUGGUAUCCCAUCAUGUCUAAUGGAAGAAGCCUUUUGCUUUUGUUAUGCAUUUCAGUGUUAAAUCAUGAGUCUUUUUUUCCAACUACUCACUUGGGUCCAUAUGGUCCUAAUUUCAUCGCUUCAGUUGCUUUACGCCUAUUGUCCCUUUGCUUUUCCAUUUUUCGUGAAAAACUUGAGGAAGUUUGACGUGUGCUGUGACUUUCUACCCUUUGUCGUAGUACAUGUUCCAGUUUGUUGGUUUUGCAGUAGAUGUCUCUGAUUUAAAUAGGGAACCUUGUGCCAUCUGCAAACCCAGACUACACUGUUAAAACACGAAUAUCAUACGGAGUACUAGUUUAAUUAUCAGGUGAAUUCAGCUGCAGCCUCUUUAGAAUGUUGUUAAUUUUAUCACUAUAAGUUCACUGGAGCAACAGAUUGAUCAACAAGAGCUUCUACGCCGUGGUUGCAAUUAACUAUGUUCUGCUGUUUUCUCAUAUGUUCCAG
RNAcentral lists this long non-coding RNA (2508 nucleotides) under Triticum aestivum (bread wheat). RNAcentral's name for it is "long non-coding RNA (TAES_LNC002787)". The record is from RNAcentral. Lineage: Eukaryota; Viridiplantae; Streptophyta; Magnoliopsida; Poales; Poaceae.